CAGUAGCCACGGGAAUACGUAGGUGGCAAGCGUUGUCCGGAAUUAUUGGGCGUAAAGGGCUCGCAGGCGGUUUCUUAAGUCUGAUGUGAAAGCCCCCGGCUCAACCGGGGAGGGUCAUUGGAAGCUGGGAAACUUGAGUGCAGAAGAGGAGAGUGGAAUUCCACGUGUAGCGGUGAAAUGCGUAGAGAUGUGGAGGAACACCAGUGGCGAAGGCGACUCUCUGGUCAGUAACUGACGCUGAGGAGCGAAAGCGUGGGGAGCGAACAGGAUUAGAUACCCCCGUAGUCCCUGUCUCUUAUAC
RNAcentral lists this ribosomal RNA (301 nucleotides) under uncultured bacterium. RNAcentral describes it as "partial 16S ribosomal RNA". It matches the Rfam family "Bacterial small subunit ribosomal RNA", at positions 509 to 807 of the family's 1533-position model. The record is from RNAcentral.